UACGUAGGUCCCGAGCGUUGUCCGGAUUUAUUGGGCGUAAAGCGAGCGCAGGUGGUUUAUUAAGUCUGGUGUAAAAGGCAGUGGCUCAACCAUUGUAUGCAUUGGAAACUGGUAGACUUAAGUGUAGGAGAGGAGAGUGGAAUUCCAUGUGUAGCGGUGAAAUGCGUAGAUAUAUGGAGGAACACCGGUGGCGAAAGCGGCUCUCUGGCCUGUAACUGACACUGAGGCUCGAAAGCGUGGGGAGCAAACAGG
Molecule: ribosomal RNA, 252 nt
Filed under: uncultured bacterium
Lineage: Bacteria
Description: partial 16S ribosomal RNA
Rfam family: Bacterial small subunit ribosomal RNA
Source: RNAcentral